GUCUUCAUUUGCUCUUCCUGCCUUUUGAGGUGGGGAGAAGAUGACGAUUUCCUUGCCUAGAAGAGGUUUUAACCCUCCUUCAUCUAGGAUUAGGAUGCAUAUAUAAGUUAUCGUCUUUGUUUUUAUAGAUGGGUCAAAAUAAAGAGGAUUUUUUUAAGAAAACUUGCGAUGUGGCUUUAGUUCUUUGGCUCUUUAAAUGUGUUUGUCGU
This 209-nucleotide unclassified non-coding RNA is filed under the name Hevea brasiliensis (rubber tree). The record is from RNAcentral. Lineage: Eukaryota; Viridiplantae; Streptophyta; Magnoliopsida; Malpighiales; Euphorbiaceae.